UGUUUUGGAAUUUCUUUCGGC
Caenorhabditis elegans is the source of this 21-nucleotide non-coding RNA. The record is from Ensembl. Lineage: Eukaryota; Metazoa; Nematoda; Chromadorea; Rhabditida; Rhabditidae.